UUUCAUUUUAACGUCCUCUGUGAUUUAAGGGAAUUGGUCACGAGAAAGGUUUGGUGGAGGAUGCAGAAACUUUCUUUCCAGUACCCAUAUGUGACAGUGUGCUGGGAAACCUUCACAAAGCCCUUCAGCCCUGUCAGAAGAAGCCUGUGGAACUGGAGCAUAACAGAGGAAGACAGGGCAAGCUAAGAAGCAGCAACUGAAAGGAAAAUCUUCAAGUUUGUGGCUAUCAGAGCAAAAGGCAAAAAGCAGAAAAACACAGAAGACAGAAAUCUCAGGAGACAACAGUCUGCCCCUGUUUGACUUUCUCACCAGUUUGGAGACUUCUCUCUGGACACCACAUCAAAGGGCUUCAAUUGCUUCCAGCUCAGCAUUGUUCUUUGGGGUGACAAAAAGUCAAUGAGAAAAGAGAACUUCGAGCUAGGUGAAGUUCCCAGCAGCCAAUAAUGCCCUUGGGAUCCUGGACCCUCUUAUGCCCCUUACGCACCUGAAGUUCUGUACUUAGCCAGCCACACCAUGAUAUAAAGCAGAUGACCCCAAUCAGAGAACCAGUAAAUAUAUAAAGCAGUUCGAAGUAUGUGCCACAUGAAAGUUGCCAUUUAUAUUUCAAUAUUUCAAAGCAGUAAAUUCACCUUUUGCAAUAAAAAAUUCGAGGUGUACAUGUACAAGGAAGGACCUGGAGUAGAUGUCUCGAGUAAAACAUCAUCUUGGAAGGUGUAUCUGCAUGCAGAGAAGAACGUGUGUGUUUUCAAAUCUGAACUGCGUGUGUCCAGCAUUAUAUGAGGUAAAUUCUUUUGCAAGAGGAGAGAAGACUGCUGAAUUAUCUAAAAUUUACUCUCUCCCUACAUGUCCUUUCAGAGCCUUUUAAAAUUUUCCAUAGUCCUGGACUCUAUGACAAUCUAGGCAGGGAAUAGAAACCGUAUUGUUUAGCACCGGUGACCAGUCACAGAGCAUAUUUGAAGCCUGAACAAAAAUGCUUGGAGGUAUCGAUACGAUUCAGCAACCCAUAGGCCAGAAAAUUAUUUUAUUGAACCUCUUUACCACAUGGUUAUAAAAAAAGACUGUAAAAAAUGCUAUCCAUUUGUGGUCAGAAGUAUCAAGUACAACAAAUUACACUUACUGAAUACUUCAGUUACUGUACUUGGCAGUGAAUUUGCUUUAACUCCGGGAGAGCAUGAAAUCUUUAGAAGAGAUGUGAACCAGUUGUGCAAUACUAGACUUUUUGCUCCUCGGGCCGUAGUCCUGCUCCCAAUUCCAUAUUCACUGUGCCUAUCAAGAGAUGCAUUCUGUUAAGAAAACAGAAAAUUCUAGCAGUUCCUAACUACAGAAGGCAGCACAACAGCUAAGAUAUUUGGGAUGAAACCACCAUGAGACAACUGCAGUUCCAGCAGGAUUUGGCUCAAGGAUCAUGUGGGAAGCCUUUCCCCUGCCAGACCAGUGAUGAAAAAGAGACGGGGGUAAGGGGCACACAAGUUCCAAGUUGUGAAUCACCCCUCGUGCUGGCCAAACCCUGCAGACGGAAAUAGGAAGGAAGUGACCACUGAGGCUGAGCUCUGCAACCUUACUUUACCCAGUCCCCACUUGGAAGAACUGUGCUUUGUUUCCCUUUCUGAAAUAUGCCUUUUCGUACAGCAUUUGCCAUCAUUAAUUGGAGCAUCUCUCUCCUGCAUCCUAAUCAAACAGUGCUGGCAAAGAAGAAUCAGUAUUAUGAGCAAGGUCUGACAUGUGCUGGCCAAUUCAAGCCACAAAUUGCUUGCCUCAGGCCUGGCAGGUAGGGGUCUCCAUUCAGUUUUAUUCAGAAUAAAAUUAUUAACAGUAAUUAAGCAUGUCUAGACCAUCCAGAAAAGGAAAGAGCCCCUGUUGCUGAAAGGGUGAGCUUAACUCUCAAUUUCUGUUUCUCCCUCAAAUACAUUUAGAACACUGACACAAUCUCCUACGGGAGGAAAAUACCACCAGGUAAAAGAUAGCAGCAAACACGUUAAAAUCGGUGCUACACCAAAAAUCAAGAAGAGGUGAAGAACAGCUGAGAAACCGUUCGAAGUCAAAACUGCACGCAUCCAGAGGUGCCCCACGUCUUAGCAAGUAUCUCCUUCAGUCAGGGAGUUCCUGCUUCAGGGCACAGGCAUGCCGCGCCAGACCCAAAUGUCCCACAACAGAAGUCAGCAGGGAGGAGUGGGAUUUGGGCCAAACCUGCAGUGGAAAUGUACGUCAGCCACAAAGCGGCUUCCAAGUCUGGGCUGUAAUGUUGCCCAAGAGUAGUACA
This is a long non-coding RNA of Hirundo rustica (Barn swallow), 2260 nucleotides long. RefSeq lists it as uncharacterized. The transcript is spliced from 3 exons. The record is from RefSeq and is a predicted model, not a curated record. Lineage: Eukaryota; Metazoa; Chordata; Aves; Passeriformes; Hirundinidae.